RNAcentral lists this long non-coding RNA (319 nucleotides) under Homo sapiens (human). Its description in RNAcentral is "HSALNT0389768". The record is from RNAcentral. Lineage: Eukaryota; Metazoa; Chordata; Mammalia; Primates; Hominidae.
GUUGAGGGUCUCCAGGCCUGGAGUUGGCUGGCAGGAGUUGAGCAGGAAGCAGGUGGGCACGCAGGGCUGAGGAAUGUGGCAGGGUGGGGGACAGUUGUCACAGCAGGUGGGCUCCAGUAACCAAACUGUGUGUGGGCAGGAGUUGAGCAGGAAGCAGGUGGGCACGCAGGGCUGAGGAAUGUGGCAGGGUGGGGGACAGUUGUCACAGCAGAUGGGCUCCAGUAACCAAACUGUGUGUGGGCAGGUGCUGGGUAGGCAGACUCCACAGCGGCAGCUUUUAUCAAAUGAGCAGAAGGUGGUGGCAGGGCCGGUGGGGACG